Molecule: ribosomal RNA, 253 nt
Filed under: uncultured microorganism
Description: partial 16S ribosomal RNA
Rfam family: Bacterial small subunit ribosomal RNA
Source: RNAcentral
GACAGAGGUGGCAAGCGUUGCUCGGAUUUACUGGGCGUAAAGGGGGCGUAGGCGGCCGUGAAAGUCCGGUGUGAAAACUCACGGCUCAACCGUGGGACUGCGCUGGAAACUACACGGCUUGAGGACGGUAGAGGGAGACGGAACUGCUGGUGUAGGGGUGAAAUCCGUAGAUAUCAGCAGGAACGCCGGUGGAGAAGUCGGUCUCCUGGGCCGUUCCUGACGCUGAGGCCCGAAAGCUAGGGGAGCAAACCGG